CUCGUGUUGUGAAAUGUUGGGUUAAGUCCCGUAACGAGCGCAACCCCUAUCCUUAUUUGCCAGCACUUCGGGUGGGAACUCUAAGGAGACUGCCGGUGACAAACCGGAGGAAGGUGGGGAUGACGUCAAGUCAUCAUGGCCCUUACGAGUAGGGCUACACACGUGCUACAAUGGCCGGUACAGAGGGCUGCAAACUCGCGAGGGUAAGCUAAUCUCACAAAACCGGUCGUAGUCCGGAUUGGAGUCUGCAACUCGACUCCAUGAAAGUCGGAAUCCUAGUAAUCGUGAAUCAGAAUGUCACGGUGAAUACGUUCCCGGGUCUUGUACACACCGAA
RNAcentral lists this ribosomal RNA (335 nucleotides) under uncultured Oceanospirillum sp. Its description in RNAcentral is "bacterial SSU rRNA". It matches the Rfam family "Bacterial small subunit ribosomal RNA", at positions 1059 to 1394 of the family's 1533-position model. Lineage: Bacteria; Pseudomonadati; Pseudomonadota; Gammaproteobacteria; Oceanospirillales; Oceanospirillaceae. The record is from RNAcentral.